This 498-nucleotide ribosomal RNA is filed under the name uncultured bacterium. Its description in RNAcentral is "SSU rRNA". It matches the Rfam family "Bacterial small subunit ribosomal RNA", at positions 26 to 521 of the family's 1533-position model. The record is from RNAcentral.
AGAGCGAACGCUGGCGGCGUGCUUAACACAUGCAAGUCGAGUGCGCAGCUUUCUGUAGCAAUACAGGAAGCCGGCGCACGGCGCACGGGUGCGUAACACGUGGGUAACCUGCCCUCCAAAGGGGGAUAACCCCGCGAAAGCGGGGCUAAUACCGCAUGACAUUCCGAGUACUUCGGUGUUCGGAAUCAAAGCUCGAAAGGGCGUUGGAGGAGGGGCCCGCGGCCGAUUAGCUUGUUGGCGAGGUAACGGCUCACCAAGGCAAUGAUCGGUAGCCGGUCUGAGAGGAUGGCCGGCCACACUGGAACUGAGACACGGUCCAGACUCCUACGGGAGGCAGCAGUGGGGAAUCUUGCGCAAUGGGCGAAAGCCUGACGCAGCGACGCCGCGUGGGGAUGAAGCUUCUCGGAGUGUAAACCCUUUCGACCCGGACGAAACGCCCGUAAGGGCUUGACGGUACGGUAUAAGAAGCCCGGCUAACUACGCGCCAGCAGCCGCGGU